This is a long non-coding RNA of Ictalurus punctatus (channel catfish), 1773 nucleotides long. RefSeq lists it as uncharacterized. Lineage: Eukaryota; Metazoa; Chordata; Actinopteri; Siluriformes; Ictaluridae. The record is from RefSeq and is a predicted model, not a curated record. The transcript has 3 exons.
ACAGUCCUUUUCAGUUUUCACUUUUUUCUUUUCAGUACUCUGCUCCGUUCCUUUUUUCCCAGACUCUGUUAAGCCUCUACUGUUUUGUGCAACUCUCUCUCUCUUGCUAUCUCUCUCUCUCUCUCUCUCUCUCUCUCUCUCUCUCUCUCUCUCUCUCUCUCGGUAUCUCCCAACCUCCUUUCGAUCUCUCCCUUCGUAACAAACUUUUGCUCAGCCUUUUCAGUUUGCGUUUGAUUUUUUUUCUUCGGCGAUCCCCUGUUAAGUUUUAUUCAUGGCAGUCAAAGACAAUGAGAACCGUGCACAUUUUGGCACCGUUGAGGAGAAUCAGAACUGCAGCCAAGGAGCCUGCUGUGAUCCAAAAAACUCGAGCACAGCGAAGCGUCAAAAAAAAAAAAAAAAAAAAAAAAAAAAAAAAACACCCUUUCCUUUGCUUGGUCACAAAUUCCACUUUCCCUGUAGCCUGGGCAGUGUUGAAACUCCUCCUCAACCACAUCUCACCGCAUUCGACCUUUCCGCCUUUUCCCUCUCUUCCUCUUCCACGGAACCUUUUUUUCAGAACCCGCGUCCAGAGUUUUUUUUUCGCCUCCGCUGGUAAAUGUGGACAGGAGCCUCUGCCCAGGAGGGCGACUGAAGGGACAGUGGGGUUUUUCAGUUAUUUUUCUUCUUAUUAUUAUUUUUUUUGCCGAUCAUUUGGCCAUACUGGGGUGUUGAAGUAGUGCCGGGACUUUGGGCUGCUGUUUGUAGUUGUAGGUUUCUGUGUACGCUCCCCGUUCAGAUUUUUAAACAAAUUCUGGCAACGGAAUCGGCCUAGUCUGCGCCCCAAGCCUAUCUCUGUGUUAUGGCCAAGAGAAGACUGAAUGCUCCUUUUCGGACCACACUGCUUCUCUCUCUCUGUCUUUCUCUCUUUUUCUCUCUUAUGUUAUCUGUCACCUUCUUUCUUUAUAACUCUCUUUUUCACCCCUCUGGCAUUUUGUGUGUUGGACUGAGCAUCCCAGGAGGCAGCGUGGCCUCCAUCGUCCAGAAAACAGAGCGACUGGUCAAAGCCCACCUGUUCAGCAUUUACAAAGAAGGAACAAAGAAUGACAAGUCUAUAGUAUGUUAAGUCUCUGGAGUCUUAUUAAAGGAGCCCUUAUUCCUUUUCAUGGCAGUGGAGUAACUCCAGCUCUUUUUGAAACAUCUGUGAAUUAUGAAGAAAAAAAAAUGGUCUAAACAUUUUUAAAAUGUUUGCAUGACUUAAUCUUUGCUAUACUCACUAAAAUCAUUCCCUUCUCUAAUCUCUUCAACUGUUCCAACCAUCUUCUUUCCCACCGUUUCCCAGCUGUGCGCUCAGAAAAGGUUUCCUCUCUAAUUCGUUUUCUCUCUCUCUCUCUCUCUCUCUCUCUCUCUCUCUCUCACUCUCCUUUACCCCCUCCAACCGACCAUCUCCGUCAACGAAAGUCCUUUCAUAAUGAAUGGCAAGGUACGAUAAUAGCCUUGUGGUUUCCAUAGAAACCAGACAGUAGCCCUGUGUGUAUGGCAUACCCCCCUUUUUUUCUUCUCCCUCUUUUUUCAAGGGGGCAAAUGAUAGUGGAAUGUGAGGCGAAACACCUCCCUCUCUCCUUCUCUCCCUCGUUCUUACUCCGUGCACCCACUGCACUGUAUUCCCAUUCCCUUUCUUCCCUUUCCCCGUUCAGCCUCUCAGAAUUUUUACUUAUUCACUUUUUUAUAAUGUUACCUGUUUGAAUCUUUUGGAUUUUCUGAAGUUGUCAUAAAAUAAAGUAUGAACUGAACUGA